UUUUAUUUGAGAGUUUGAUCCUGGCUCAGGAUGAACGCUGGCGGCGUGCCUAACACAUGCAAGUUGAGCGAUUUACUUCGGUAAAGAGCGGCGGACGGGUGAGUAACGCGUGGGUAACCUACCCUGUACACACGGAUAACAUACCGAAAGGUAUGCUAAUACGGGAUAAUAUAUUUGAGAGGCAUCUCUUAAAUAUCAAAGGUGAGCCGGUACAGGAUGGACCCGCGUCUGAUUAGCUAGUUGGUAAGGUAACGGCUUACCAAGGCGACGAUCAGUAGCCGACCUGAGAGGGUGAUCGGCCACAUUGGAACUGAGACACGGUCCAAACUCCUACGGGAGGCAGCAGUGGGGAAUAUUGCACAAUGGGCGAAAGCCUGAUGCAGCAACGCCGCGUGAGUGAUGAAGGCCUUCGGGUCGUAAAACUCUGUCCUCAAGGAAGAUAAUGACGGUACUUGAGGAGGAAGCCCCGGCUAACUACGUGCCAGCAGCCGCGGUAAUACGUAGGGGGCUAGCGUUAUCCGGAUU
This 525-nucleotide ribosomal RNA is filed under the name Clostridioides difficile. Its description in RNAcentral is "bacterial SSU rRNA". It matches the Rfam family "Bacterial small subunit ribosomal RNA", at positions 1 to 551 of the family's 1533-position model. Lineage: Bacteria; Bacillati; Bacillota; Clostridia; Peptostreptococcales; Peptostreptococcaceae. The record is from RNAcentral.